AAACAAGUUGCUUUCUUUUCAAGCUGUGGAUUCCAUCAACUAACUGGAAUGGCCUUCAUGUAUUUGGCAACAGAUUCAGGACUGCCCUCCCCCUGUCCCUUCAAAAUAUUGGAGGAGAAUUAGGAUGGUCUAGCAGACAGAGCGCGAGAGACUACAGCUCACUGAAAUUGCUCUCCAGGAUCGUGGAAGCAGGAGAGAGCAGCAUGGCUGGAACAUGGGGCAGGAAUAUUUUGACAAAAAUAUACAUCCAGAAGAAGUCGGUCCAAGAGUCCACCAUCCCUCCUAUCUGUGGAAUUCCAGGUAUAGCAAGUAUUACUAACAGUAGAAACAAAGCUGCAUUGGGCCUUUAACUUCAGGUAAUUGGGAUCCGGAGAUAUGGAUCACUC
Molecule: long non-coding RNA, 386 nt
Filed under: Vulpes vulpes (red fox)
Lineage: Eukaryota; Metazoa; Chordata; Mammalia; Carnivora; Canidae
Description: lncRNA (ENSVVUG00000011341.1)
Source: RNAcentral